GCUGGGCGCUUGCGGGCUGGUGUUAAAUGCCGACUGCUUCUGAGCGAGCGGGAUGACGGCAAUGGCUCCCCACGGCGCUGCGGAGGAAGAAUGUGUCAGCGGGGCUCAGCUCGUCGCCGAGGCCCUAAAGACACAAAACAUUGAAUAUAUGUUUGGUAUUGUUGGUAUUCCAGUGACUGAAAUUGCAAUUGCAGCCCAAGCAAUUGGAAUAAAAUAUAUAGGAAUGAGAAAUGAACAAGCUGCUUGCUAUGCUGCCUCUGCUGUUGGGUACCUGACAGGAAGGCCAGGAGUAUGUCUUGUUGUUUCUGGUCCAGGUCUCAUACAUGCUCUGGGCGGAAUGGCAAAUGCGAACAUGAAUUGCUGGCCUUUGAUUGUUAUUGGAGGUUCCUCUGACAGGAAUCAGGAAAUCAUGGGAGCUUUCCAAGAAUUCCCACAGGUUGAAGCUUGUAGGCUAUACAGCAAACUUUCUGUCAGACCCAGCAGCCUAGAAGCUAUUCCUGCUGUUAUUGAAAAGGCAGUGAGGUGCAGUACCUAUGGUCGUCCAGGUGCCUGUUAUGUUGACAUGCCAGGAGACUUUGUAAAUCUACAGGUGAACAAGAGCUCUGUCAAAUAUGUUAAAUGCUGUUUGCCACCUCCUGUCUGCACAGCUGAACACUCUGCUGUAUCUGUAGCAGCAUCUAUCCUUGCACAUUCCAGACAGCCUCUCCUAAUCAUUGGCAAAGGUGCUGCUUAUUCACGUGCUGAAAACAGCAUCAGAAAGUUGGUGGACCAAUGCGGGCUACCCUUUUUGCCUACCCCAAUGGGAAAAGGAGUUGUUCCUGACAACCAUCCAAACUGUGUAGCUGCAGCCAGAUCCAGGGCAUUGCAACAUGCUGAUGUAAUAAUAUUGUUUGGUGCCAGGUUGAACUGGAUUUUGCACUUUGGACUUCCACCAAGAUUUCGACCAGAUGUAAAGAUUAUCCAGGUUGAUAUUUGUGCAGAAGAGCUGGGGAAUAAUGUGAGACCUGCUGCAAAUUUAUUAGGUGACAUAAAUGCCGUGACUGAGCAGCUUUUAGAACAACUUGUUCUAAUGGAAUGGAAAUAUCCUUCUUAUUCAGAGUGGUGGAAGGGAUUAAGAGAGAAAAUGAAGAGCAAUGAAGAAACAUCCAAGGCAUUGGCAUUACAAAAAUCCCUGCCUAUGAAUUAUUAUACAGUAUUCCAUCAUGUCAGAGAACUGUUACCCAGGGACUGCAUUCUGGUUAGUGAGGGAGCUAAUACUAUGGACAUUGGACGUACUAUGCUUCCAAACUAUCAUCCUCGCCACAGACUCGAUGCUGGUACAUUUGGAGCAAUGGGAGUUGGGCUAGGAUUUGCUAUAGCAGCUGCAAUGGUGGCUAAAGAUCAGACACCUGAACGGCGAGUGAUCUGUGUAGAAGGAGACAGUGCUUUUGGAUUUUCUGGCAUGGAAGUGGAAACUAUUUGCAGGUAUAACUUGUCAGUUGUAAUUAUCGUAGUAAACAACAAUGGGAUAUACCGUGGUUUGGAUGCAGAUACUUGGAAGGAGAUGUUAAAGUCUGGAGAACCAACUGUGUGUGCACCACCUGUUUGUCUCCUGCCAAAUUCUCACUAUGAGCAGAUUAUGUCUGCAUUUGGGGGUAAAGGGUACUUUGUAAAAACACCAGAGGAACUUCAAAAUGCCCUAAAAGCAAGCCUGGCAGAGAAGCAAGUGCCUUCCCUUAUCAAUGUAAUGAUCAACCCACAAUCUGACAGAAAACAGCAGAUAAAGGAACCUGGACUCAGACUGAAUUCCUGAAGAACCGAGUGGAAGAAGUCUCAAGGAAAUGCCAGAAUAGUGGUGCCAUGACUCGGCUGCCAUUUGUCUGGAGCAGGACAGUUGAGAGCUGAGUAGAGAGAGAAGAGAGAGGUUGGCAACAUCUACACCUGAGGACAUGGCUGCUCUGAAGUAUAUGAUGCCCAUGAAGUGGUUAAUUUUUAAAGCUUGUGGCUUUCAGAAGUUAUUAGGCAACAGUGCCCUGCCCUCAGGUUGUGUUCACCCAAUGAGUAUUCUGAAGACUUAAUAGUGCUACCUCGUAUUUAAUCGACUGACUGUAUUGUCAGUUGUUGAACAGUGUUUAUAGAGAUGUGGAAUAAGCCAGAACUUUCUUGUCCAUAUAGUUGGAUUUAGCUCAUCACAAAGUUAGCUAAUUUUUCUGCCUUGUCUCUAGAGACCUUUGGUUCUAAACACAACAGCAGGGAAGUGUUGUGACCAUUCUUUGCUUUUCUCAUUUGUUACCUUGUUUACUUCAGGAACUGGUUUUGAUGGGCUGUACCUGCAGGUAAUAUCUUCCCAAAGAAAUUUUGGCUUCAUCAUAGAACUGUGAACACCCAUGUUGGUAAAUGGACCUAAUUUUUGCGCACACACAGACAAAAACCAGGUUCUUGUUGUUAAAAAUGGCUAGCAUUAAAUUAAUGCUAUGUGAAUAUUCUGCAAAUUUUGCAAAGAAAAACAUAAUUAAAAUUAUCUUUUCCAGCUCUCCUCUAAUUAAAUGAAUAGGUUUUUUCUGUACUGCUUACUUUGCAGACAUAAAGGCAUAUUAAAUUAUUGCAUUAAUACUCUUGUCUUGUUCCCAGUCACACCGCUGAAGAUCUUUCAUUCGUAUGAACUGAAAAGGCUUGAUUGGCUUUGUUCUUUAAUUAAACUUUUGAUUGCACAGGCCUUUGAGAUUACUGAUGGUUUAUUUUAGGUGCAUUCAUUCUCCUUUGGCCUGCAGAUGAAGGAGCUGCCAGCUGAAAGUAGAUGGGACUGGGAAGAAGCCUUCUCUUUAAUUGAAUUGUCAUUAAUUCUUGCACAGAAAGGACAGGUUCAUAAAUUCAGUUUACAUGGGAGGACUGAUCAAUAGGGCUCCACCAUCCUCUCCCUUCAAGACUUUAGCUCUGGGCUGAAAAAGGCAAUAGACAGCUAUUGGAGCAGGUAAGGUAGUGGCUGUGUUGUUUUUUGCCUGUAAUGAUUAGUUGGAUUUUUGACAUUUACUUAAUUAAUAUAGCAUCAAAUGUAGAUUUUUUGAAGUCCCAGUUUAUUCCCUGAAAUAAAAAGACUGAUAUACC
RNA transcript from Chelonia mydas (Green sea turtle), 3084 nucleotides. It is a transcript of the gene named 2-hydroxyacyl-CoA lyase 1, with no coding region annotated. Lineage: Eukaryota; Metazoa; Chordata; Testudines; Cheloniidae. The record is from RefSeq and is a predicted model, not a curated record. The transcript has 18 exons.